Molecule: ribosomal RNA, 513 nt
Filed under: uncultured bacterium
Lineage: Bacteria
Description: bacterial SSU rRNA
Rfam family: Bacterial small subunit ribosomal RNA
Source: RNAcentral
GAUGAACGCUAGCGGCAGGCCUAACACAUGCAAGUCGAGGGGCAGCGAGGGUAGCAAUACCUGUCGGCGACCGGCGCACGGGUGAGUAACGCGUAUGCAACCUACCCUUCACAGGGGGAUAGCCCGCCGAAAGGCGGAUUAAUACCCCAUGGCCCCAUUGUCCGGCAUCGGAUGAUGGGUAAAGGAGCAAUCCGGUGGAGGAUGGGCAUGCGUGCCAUUAGCUAGUUGGCGGGGUAACGGCCCACCAAGGCGACGAUGGCUCGGGGGGUCUGAGAGGAUGGUCCCCCACACUGGUACUGAGACACGGACCAGACUCCUACGGGAGGCAGCAGUGAGGAAUAUUGGUCAAUGGGCGGAAGCCUGAACCAGCCAUGCCGCGUGCAGGAAGACGGCCCUACGGGUUGUAAACUGCUUUUCCGGGGGAAGAAUAAGGGCGACGUGUCGCCCGAUGCCGGUACCCCGGGAAUAAGGAUCGGCUAACUCCGUGCCAGCAGCCGCGGUAAAGUCUGUACU